Astyanax mexicanus (Mexican tetra) is the source of this 2303-nucleotide RNA transcript. It is a transcript of the gene named tetratricopeptide repeat domain 4, with no coding region annotated. The record is from RefSeq and is a predicted model, not a curated record. NCBI's taxonomy places the organism in Eukaryota, Metazoa, Chordata, Actinopteri, Characiformes, Acestrorhamphidae. The transcript has 11 exons.
UGUAGUUAGAGGAGCGGCUGCAGUGCUGGGGUAGAGGAACUCAGCGCAGCGUGUACACGCGUUUACACUCUGCACUGUUUAUAGUUUACCAUAUAUACAUAUUUAUUCAUAUCUCUACAGCGUUCUUAUCUAGUCAUAUUAACCUGCGUUUGUUUCCUUCCCCAGCUUCAGUAACAGAGUAAUAAUAAGGGUUGUAGCUCAGUAAACACGUCUCUCACAGUCUCCAGUGUAGCUAAUAGAGCGUUAUAAUGGCUCAGUCAGACAGCGACGAUGGAAUGGACGAAUUUAUGGAGAAAUUUAAGACACAGAAAUACAAAAAUGCGUUCAAUGAAAGCAACUGGGAGGAGGAGUUUGAGAAAGUACCCAUGUUUAUGAAAACAGCUCCAGAGGAGAUAGACCCACUGAAGAACCCGGACCUCGCCUGCAUUCAGUCCAUUAUUCACGAUGAUGACCGACCACCAGAAGAGCAAGCGAAGAGUCUGAAGGACGAAGGUAACGAGUAUUUUAAGGAGAAGAACUAUAAGAAGGCGAUAGUGGCCUACACAGAGGGGCUGAAGAAGAACUGCUCAGACUCUGACCUCAAUGCCAUCCUGUACACGAAUCGUGCUGCAGCCCAUUUUUAUCUAGGAAAUAUGCGAUCAGCGUUAAAUGAUGCAACUGCUGCAAGAAGGCUGAAGUCAGACCAUAUUAAAGCCAUCAUCAGAGGGGCUCAGUGCUGUAUGGAACUGCAUAAUUAUGCAGAAGCUUUGCAAUGGUGUGAUGAGGGCCUCAGAAUAUUGCCCACCGAAAAGAAGCUGCAGGAGCUUAGGGCUAAAGCAGACAAGCAAAAGAGGGCAGCAGAAAGAGAUGCCAGAAAGGCUAAAGCUAAAGUGAAAAAGGAGCGGACUGACAGAGAUGCAUUGCUGACUGCUGUUAAGGAGCGUGGCAUUAAGUUGAUGCCUGGGCAGCGACAACAUAGAAGCUCUGACAGCGAGGAGGAUGAUGGAGCUGAAGGAUCUGCAGCAGACAUGGCAGAGCUGAAUCUGGACGGCUUCAGCACGCAGGAGGCCACUGGAGCUAAGGUGUAUCUGGAUGAACAAGGUGUUCUUCACUGGCCUGUACUUUUCCUGUACCCAGAGUACAGACAGACCGACUUCAUCUCAGCUUUCUGCGAAAACUCCAGCUUCAUUGAUCACUUGACAGUCAUGUUUGGAGAGGAACUUCCUCCUUGGGACACGGACAAAAAAUAUUGUCCUCAAAAUCUUCAGUUGUUUAUUGAAGACCAUGAAAAAGGUCACAUCUAUGAAGUGGAUGUUACAAAGUCUCUUCUCAGUGUCCUUCAGCACACACGAUGCUCUGUGAAGCAAGGAACUCCUAGCUUCAUUAUCCUGGUGAAAGAUUCUCCGUUCUGUAAGCAGUUUUUAUCAGAUGAGAAAGUCCAUUUAUUAAAAUGAAGCCUGGAUGGAAGAUGGAAGGACACUGCAAUGGCCAGUGACACUGACCCAUGCCCCAAGUCCUUAAAGAGGUUUACUGCAGACAGUGACCUUCCCAGGGCUGUGUGUUUCCCCUGUGGCUGUACACUCUGCAGCAGCCUCCUGACUAUACCCAGUCUGCCUCUCUUCACCAGCUCCUUGGACAGUUCUGCCACUUCUUCUGUGUGCUUCCUACACAGCAUCUUGAGCUCAGUCUUUACAAGGCCGUCGCCGUGCCGCUGCUCGGCCCGCAGUACACACUCCUCCAUUUGAGCAAUAAUGUGGCCCAGGUCUCCUGUGCUCUGGCAGAAGACUGUGAGCAGAGUGUGCAGUAAUAAGGACAGGGCCCAGAGCUCCUGACCACCAGGCCGCUCCAGCUCCAGCGCUCGUUUGAAGCAGUCUAUCGCAUUCUGCUCCUCACCCUUCAGCAGGAGACAACGGCCCCUCAGCAGCUGCAGCUCGGGUAGAGUGGAGCCCAGUGGACACUGCAGAGCCUGGGCUAGGCUGACCAAAGCCUGAUUAACUGCCAUUUCAUCCACCAUUAAACUCUCCUGCAGAGCGUCCACUCCCAUGUAGUAAUAGACCUGAUGAAGGAGAAAUAAGGCUACUUGUCACAGUGUUUUUAUAAACGGACACACUUCUGUUUGAAGACCACUCUUGCAUUGGACAUUGGAAGAGAAUUAAGAGUGAUAUUACAAGAAUUUACACAAAUAUUAAUCUGGCUAUCCAGUGCUUUGCUGUUCUCUUCAACAGAGAUGACAUUCUCUCUGUUACAGAGUGUACCCUUAAAAUGAUUUUUAAACUGUUAUUUUAAUGUAAAACUUCUACAUAAAGUUGCCUAACUGAACAAGA